Long non-coding RNA from Oncorhynchus tshawytscha (Chinook salmon), 1518 nucleotides. The record is from Ensembl. Lineage: Eukaryota; Metazoa; Chordata; Actinopteri; Salmoniformes; Salmonidae.
GUGGACGGGCACGUGAAGACGCUGCCAAUCAGUCUUCUCUGUAGACUAGCAGAGUGGACAAUAAUACUCUCACAUGAAGCCUGGUAUGGGGUCAUGCUGCUGUUGAGUUCUCUAGUUUGUAUUUUCUGUACCGCUGGUGAGGAAAGAUGGAUGGAACGUAGGCUAGUUUCUCAACCUGCUGUGGGAUCAUUAGUGUUUGACGAAUUCCUGUAUUUCACUCAAGAAUAGAAACCGCUUAACGGAGCAACAAACUCCAAAAGGCUCUGGCUUGGGGGUAGAAUCUGUUCAGCAGUCUGAUGGCUUAGGGAUAGAAUCUGUUCAGCAGUCUGAUGGCUUGGGGGUAGAAUCUGUUCAGCAGUCUGAUGGCUUAGGGAUAGAAUCUGUUCAGCAGUCUGAUGGCUUAGGGAUAGAAUCUGUUCAGCAGUCUGAUGGCUUGGGGGUAGAAUCUGUUCAGCAGUCUGAUGGCUUGGGGAUAGAAUCUGUUCAGCAGUCUGAUGGCUUGGGGGUAGAAUCUGUUCAGCAGUCUGAUGGCUUGGGGAUAGAAUCUGUUCAGCAGUCUGAUGGCUUGGGGAUAGAGCUGUUCAGCAGUUUGAUGGCUUGGGGGUAGAAGCUGUUCAGGAGUCUGAUGGCUUGGGGAUAGAAGCUGUUCAACAGUCUGAUGGCUUGGGGGUAGAAGCUGUUCAGCAGUCUGAUGGCUUGGGGAUAGAAGCUGUCAGCUGGUCUCUUCCUGUGUAUGGGGUAGAGGUCAGUCGGUCUCUUCCUGGGUAUGGGGUAGAGAGGUCAGCCGGUCUCUUCCUGGGUAUGGGGUAGAGAGGUCAGCCGGUCUCUUCCUGGGUAUGGGGUAGAGAGGUCAGCCGGUCUCUUCCUGUGUAUGGGGUAGAGAGGUCAGCCGGUCUCUUCCUGGGUAUGGGGUAGAGAGGUCAGUCGGUCUCUUCCUGGGUAUGGGGUAGAGAGGUCAGUCGGUCUCUUCCUGGGUAUGGGGUAGAGGUCAGCCGGUCUCUUCCUGGGUAUGGGGUAGAGAGGUCAGCCAGUCAGUCAUUGAGUCAUACUCCUAUCAGGGAAUCUUAAAAUAGCUGUGACGUGAUUGAGACAGGACUUAUCCAAGCGGAUGGGCUGAGGCUGUCCUCUUCUCUACAGACACAAGAUGGAGAGAGGUCAUUACAUCUUCUCUGUAUCCUCGGCUUCAUCAUUCAAACUCGGCUUCAUCAUUCAAACUCGGCUUCAUCAUUCAAACUUGGCUUCAUCAUUCAAACUCGGCUACAUCAUUCAAACUCGGCUACAUCGUCCAUUGAAUCAAGAUGGCUCAUUCAUCACAAAACCCAACUACUUUUAAUACUUUGUUCAUUGGCAAGAUUGAUACAUUUAGGCAUGCCGUGCCAACGAUACAUUCUGAACCUACACAUUCAUGUAAUACUGACCAAAUUAUGACAAAAGCAUUGUAAUUUUGAAUUCCAUAAAGUUGAGUGUGGAAGAGGUCAAAAAAAAUAUUAUUUUCUUUCAACAAUGACAAGCCACCGG